RNAcentral lists this ribosomal RNA (327 nucleotides) under uncultured eukaryote. Its description in RNAcentral is "partial 18S ribosomal RNA". It matches the Rfam family "Eukaryotic small subunit ribosomal RNA", at positions 1470 to 1796 of the family's 1831-position model. The record is from RNAcentral.
CCCUUAGAUGUCCUGGGCCGCACGCGCGUUACACUGAUGCAUUCAACGAGCUUAUAACCUUGGCCGAGAGGCCUGGGCAAUCUUGUUAACGUGCAUCGUGAUAGGGAUAGAUUAUUGAAAUUAUUAAUCUUGAACGAGGAAUUCCUAGUAAACGCAAGUCAUCAACUUGCAUUGAUUACGUCCCUGCCCUUUGUACACACCGCCCGUCGCACCUACCGAUUGAACGUUCCGGUGAGACCUUAGGAUUUUGGUCUAUUUCAUUUAUUUGAGAUUUACUAGAAGAAUUUGAGCAAACCUUAACGUUUAGAGGAAGGUGAAGUCGUAACA